CCUACGGGAGGCUGCAGUGGGGAAUAUUGGACAAUGGGCGCAAGCCUGACCCAGCAACGCCGCGUGAAGGAAGAAGGCUUUCGGGAUGUAAACUUCUUUUAGCAGGGACGAAGCAAGUGACGGUACCUGACGAAUAAGCCACGGCUAACUACGUGUCAGCAGCCGCGGUAAUACGUAGGUGGCAAGCGUUAUCCGGAUUUACUGGGUGUAAAGGGCGUGUAGGCGGGUAUGCAAGUCAGAUGUGAAAACCACGGGCUCAACCUGUGGCCUGCAUUUGAAACUGUAGUUCUUGAGUACUGGAGAGGUAGACGGAAUUCCUAGUGUAGCGGUGAAAUGCGUAGAUAUUAGGAGGAACACCAGUGGCGAAGGCGGUCUGCUGGACAGCAACUGACGCUGAGGCGCGAAAGCGUGGGGAGCAAACAGGAUUAGAUACCCGGGUAGUC
Molecule: ribosomal RNA, 443 nt
Filed under: uncultured bacterium
Lineage: Bacteria
Description: partial 16S ribosomal RNA
Rfam family: Bacterial small subunit ribosomal RNA
Source: RNAcentral